RNAcentral lists this ribosomal RNA (116 nucleotides) under Firmicutes bacterium CAG:145. Lineage: Bacteria; Bacillati; Bacillota. The record is from RNAcentral.
CGGUGACUAUGGCUGAGAGGAUACACCUGUUCCCAUCUCGAACACAGAAGUUAAGCUCUCAUGCGCCGAUAAUACUUGGUGGGAAGCUGCCUGGGAAUGUAGGUCGUUGCCGGUUU